This 429-nucleotide ribosomal RNA is filed under the name Chloroflexota bacterium. Its description in RNAcentral is "Chloroflexi bacterium partial 16S ribosomal RNA". It matches the Rfam family "Bacterial small subunit ribosomal RNA", at positions 355 to 776 of the family's 1533-position model. Lineage: Bacteria; Bacillati; Chloroflexota. The record is from RNAcentral.
UGGGGAAUAUUGCACAAUGGGCGCAAGCCUGAUGCAGCCAUGCCGCGUGUGUGAAGAAGGCCUUCGGGUUGUACAGCACUUUCAGCGCGGAGGAAGGCGAUAAGGUUAAUAACCUUGUCGAUUGACGUUACCCGCAGAAGAAGCACCGGCUAACUCCGUGCCAGCAGCCGCGGUAAUACGGAGGGUGCAAGCGUUAAUCGGAAUUACUGGGCGUACAGCGCACGCAGGCGGUUUGUUAAGUCAGAUGUGAAAUCCCCGGGCUCAACCUGGAAACUGCAUUCGAAACUGGCAGGCUAGAGUCUUGUAGAGGGGGGUAGAAUUCCAGGUGUAGCGGUGAAAUGCGUAGAGAUCUGAAGGAAUACCGGUGGCGAAGGCAGCCCCCUGGACAAAGACUGACGCUCAGGUGCGAAAGAGUGGGGAGCAAACAGG